ACCGUUUUAGCCGGGAUGGUCUCGAUCUCCUGACCUCGUGAUCCGCCCGCCUCGGCCUCCCAAAGUGCUGGGAUUACAGGCGUGAGCCACCGCGCCUGGCCGGGGGAGUUUUUUUUAAACAAAAUUCUGGGGACCAUUGUUUUGGACUAAGCUCAUGCACUAGGCCCCAACAGACCAAACCAAACAAAACGGAGUUGCUUGUGUGUUAAGAAAACACAUAGGUUCUAGAACAAACCAGAUUUUGUUUUUUUUCCUGCUGCAAAUCUUUGUAACAAACAUUUUUGAUAGCAUAGGUAUCCACCCCAUGAAGUUCACAAUCUUUUAACCAAAUUCAUUUCCUCUUGCCUAGAGACCAUCAAGCUUCACAUCAUCAUGCAACAAAGGUUCCAGCCAGUUCCAGGUGAAGACACCACCCCUGGCCAUCAAGAAGCUACCUUGCCUUCACCAGACAGAGCAGGAAUUUUUGAGUUGGGUGGAAGUAGUGACUAUAUGAAGCAACUACCACUGAAGGACCAGAAAAGAAUAACGACAAUAUUAAAGAAAACAGCCAUCUUGGAGUCCAGUUAUAUUUUAAUAAAAGUGGCUAUAGCUGAUUUCCACUGUUCUUCAGUUAGUUUCCUGGCUGCUCACAAAGAUUUUCCUGCAUGCCACUGCUCUCCAGGAAUCUACCAACAUUCACGUAGACUUCUCAAUGAAUGGCACGGAAAGUUUCUUCUUAAGUUACUUCAGGCCAUCUGGAUGUAUACGUGCAAGUCACAGGGGAUGUGAUGGCUUGGCUUGGGAUCAGAGACCUGACAGUUAUCAUCCUUGUGAGCCAAGAAGAUUGAUACAUGACUGGAGCCUGAAUGGUAGAACUUUUUCAGAAGUGAGGAGUCUGUUGGCCCAGAAGAUCUGCGCAUUUUUUUCAAAGAGACUCUAGAGUCUAAAAUGAACAACCAAUCAAUUCUACAAACAUUGCAUCAUGAGGAGUUGCUGCACCUCUUCUCCAGGAUUUGCAAAACGUGUAGUCCAAAUCGAGUUCGGCUAGAACUGGUCUGUCAUCAAGAUAUGGCUCAUGAAAGAGAUUGGUGUUUAGGAGGCUGGGAAAAGGAAAUAUUUUGAGAGACUUCAUGUGCUCCGCACAUGGAGGUGGCUUCCUUUUGCCUCAGGUGAAGGGAGCUUCAACAAGAUCACUCAGAGUUUGAUCAAUGAUCUUAGAAUUUGCAGAACAUAGGGACUGCCAUUUGACUCACCCUUUAGAAGUCAGGAGGAAAGGUUACGUGGCUGGCACUUCUCAUGUCUGGGAAGGAACAACUGUGAAGUGCUGACCUAGACGAAUGUUGCACUUCCGCUGAUGAGUAGGCAAUGGCGAAUGUUUUCCAGGGUCCAAAUGUGGACCCGGCAACAGAGAGGCUGUCUGUAAUCACUUUAUAAGAGACACUAACAACAAUGACCACUGGGACUAAAGAGAGCACAACGGAAGUAGUUCUGCCAGAAGGGCUGAGGAGAGGGCUGAGCAACCACCCUCAGGGGAGGCAGACCCACAUCAAAGACAUCUCAGCAGUCCCUUUCCCAUGAAAGAAAGAGCUAGAAAUUGUCCAUUUGACACACACACAAACCAGAUCCCAGAUUGCAAUUGAUUCAGAUAAUGAAAAGCUUGUUCUUUUCACUUGCUGUUCUAGCCUAACCAUGUAGGUGUCAGAAGCAGUUGUAGGCUAGGAGAGAAGUCGGAGCAAUACAGAAGCCAGUUCUGCCUUUGCCUCAAGAUCCACUGUCCACUCAGAGGCAGGCUGGCACAUGGGGGAUGAGAACAUUCCAAGAAAGAUGUGAAUCUGGAAUUUUCAUUUAUGCAGUAGAUGGGGAUUUACUACUGAAAGGAACAUGUUUUGGCAACUAAUAGUGACCAAAAGAAUUUGUACUUACUAAAAAUUAUCUUAAAAGCAUGGGAUUACCCUAGCAUUUUGUUUCAGAAACUGAAAUUAACAGAAAACUAUAAAAUUACUUUCUGCCUGAAACCUAAGAAGGUGAACUCAUGCCAGAAACCAGUUACAUUCACAAUUACCUGGAUUUUGUUAUUUCCUACAAUGAAUAAAACUUAUUAUAAAGCAGAAAAGCCAUCGCUGUUUGUGUACAUGUUUGUGCGUGUGUGCACAUGCAUGUGUGUAUCAGACGUGUAUCAGUGUAACCACCUGAUGUCAAGACAAAUGAUCAAUUCUG
This 2196-nucleotide long non-coding RNA is filed under the name Homo sapiens (human). Its description in RNAcentral is "HSALNT0376774". Lineage: Eukaryota; Metazoa; Chordata; Mammalia; Primates; Hominidae. The record is from RNAcentral.